This 480-nucleotide ribosomal RNA is filed under the name uncultured bacterium. RNAcentral's name for it is "bacterial SSU rRNA". It matches the Rfam family "Bacterial small subunit ribosomal RNA", at positions 32 to 524 of the family's 1533-position model. The record is from RNAcentral.
AAUCAACGCUGGCAGCGUGCCUCAGACAUGCAAGUCGAACGAUUAAAGCUCUCUUCGGAGAGUGUAUAGAGUGGCGCACGGGUGAGUAACACGUAAGUAAUCUACCUUCGAGUGGGGAUAACGUCCGGAAACGGACGCUAAUACCGCAUAAUGCAGCGGCAUCGCAAGAUGACAGUUGUUAAAGAUUUAUCGCUUGAAGAGGAGCUUGCGGCAGAUUAGCUAGUUGGUAAGGUAACGGCUUACCAAGGCUACGAUCUGUAUCCGGUCUAAGAGGACGGUCGGACACACUGACACUGAAUAACGGGUCAGACUCCUACGGGAGGCAGCAGUCGGGAAUUUUGGGCAAUGGGCGAAAGCCUGACCCAGCAACGCCGCGUGAAGGAUGAAGUAUUUCGGUAUGUAAACUUCGAAAGAAUAGAAGAAUUAAUGACGGUACUAUUUAUAAGGUCCGGCUAACUACGUGCCAGCAGCCGCAGUAAC